CUGCUGCCUUCCGUAGGAGUCUGGGCCGUGUCUCAGUCCCAAUGUGGCCGUCCACCCUCUCAGGCCGGCUACUGAUCGUUGCCUUGGUGUGCUUUUACCACUCCAACUAGCUAAUCAGACGCGGGUCCAUCUCAUACCAGAUUUCUCCUUUUCACACUAAAACAUGCGUUUCCGUGCGCUUAUGCGGUUUUACCACCAGUUUCCCGAUGCUAUCCCCCUGUAUGAGGCAGGUUGCCCACGCGUUACUCACCCGUCCG
Molecule: ribosomal RNA, 257 nt
Filed under: uncultured bacterium
Lineage: Bacteria
Description: partial 16S ribosomal RNA
Source: RNAcentral